GUCCACACAUGAGCAGUCACGGAUUGGUGUGUCCCGCGGGCUCCUUGCCUCUCUCAAUCAACCACCGAAGAGGCCAUCCUUCUUAGUUCUGUGCUCAUUUGUAUCUUUAGGCCAUCCUUUUUAGUCAUGUGCAUUGUGUGUGCCAUCUACCCAGCUCUGCAGGAAGUCAACGUACCCCAUGUGGCAGUUCACCUCACCACCUCGAGCGGGAGGCACAACCACAAUGUGGUCGUCGCGCGCACCUUAACGACACAACCCUUGGGCCCUGUGCUAGCUGGGCUCCAGAAGUAUCACAAGCUCUCGCGAAUGCAGCAGGCUUCGGGGACUUCGGCCCUCGGCCUAGACCUUAGUAGGUCAUUAAGCCACCCUCGUCGAGACAACGGUCGAUCCACCGAUGGGCCCCCUCCGCUCUCUAAGAAC
RNAcentral lists this unclassified non-coding RNA (420 nucleotides) under Aechmea filicaulis. RNAcentral describes it as "partial 26S-18S rRNA external transcribed spacer". Lineage: Eukaryota; Viridiplantae; Streptophyta; Magnoliopsida; Poales; Bromeliaceae. The record is from RNAcentral.